RNAcentral lists this long non-coding RNA (1380 nucleotides) under Canis lupus dingo (dingo). Its description in RNAcentral is "lncRNA (ENSCAFG00020019837.1)". Lineage: Eukaryota; Metazoa; Chordata; Mammalia; Carnivora; Canidae. The record is from RNAcentral.
AGCCCCCAGCCAGCCCCCAGCCAGCUCAGGGCCGACGCGCAGGGGGAGGUGGAGGCCAACUGGGCCUCAGAACUUUUUUAUUUUUACAUUUUUAAAAUAAUUUUUAAAAAUUGUAUUCAUGGGGGACACACAGAGAGAGAGGGGCAGAGACCCAGGCAGAGGGAGAAGCAGGCUCCAUGCAGGGAGCCCGACGGGGGACUCCAUCCCGGGUCUCCAGGAUCACACCCUGGGCCGAAGGCAGACACUCGACCACUGAGCCCCCCGGGGCCCCUGUUCUUACUUUUUUAAUCAAGAUAUAAUUCAUGAACAGUGAACCGUUCGCAGCACACCGGUGUAACAUGAGGACUUGGUGGCCGUGCGAGGCGGGGACGGGGAGGUGGAGGAAGCGCGGGGGUGGGUGCCGCGGCCGGGAACGCUCCCCGGAGAAGAUGCCUCACGGGGAUGAAGCGCCCGCCACCACCUGUCCUCGGAGCCACGAUGGCCACUCCCCUGCAUCGCCCGUUUGCUGCGAUGGGCUCAGGUUCUGCCUCUGGCCGCUUGGUGAGGGAACGAGGAGAAGCAACAGCUGUGAGAAGGGUGGGCGUCCCAGGAGCAGGCACCGCGGCAGGCCGGGCACCCCGCAGGCCUCUCGCGUGGGGCAGCAGCCCGAGCCCGCCUUCCUCAGAGCGGGAGGCCCGCCGUCAGGCCGGUGUCCCGGGGCCGUCAGCAUUUCCUGCUGCCUCCGCUUUAGGAAUCAGCUUUGCCCUCCGAGCCAGGCCGACGUCUGCAGGUGGGAAGAGCCCAUCCGUGCAGCAGGUGCCCACAGCGGCCCGGGGCCCCGGAGCACACAUGGUCCUCCUCCCUGGGAUACGGUUCUCCUUCCCAGGGUGUGCUCCUCCCCCCUGGACAUGGUCCUCCCCCCAGGACGUGAUCGUCCCCCCUGGACACACUCCUCCCCGCCCACACGUUCCUCCCCACCCAGGACAUGCUUCUCCCACCUGGACAAGGUCCUUCCUCCUGACAUGUUCCUCUCCCCCUGGACAGGGUCCUCCCCCCAGGACAUGCUCUUCCCUUCCAGGACACAGUCCUCCUGGACAAGGUCCUCCCUCCCGGGCACGAUCCUUCCCCCUGGACACGAUCCUCCCUCCUGGACACAGCCCUACCUCCAGGAUACAGUCCUCACCCCUGGACACGUUCCUCCCCCCGGACACAGACCUCCCUACCGGGUCAGCCCAGCCCACGAUGCUUGGGGGCCUCAGCUGGGAGGUGCUCCGGGCUCCUGGUUUGCAGGGCAGAGGGGGGCCGGGCCGGGGGUGUCCCCAGUACCCCCUCCCCCUCCAGCUACAACCGCACCCCCCCCCGGGGGCCUGGCGCCCGUGAGGAGCACCCGUUCUGCAGGAC